This 250-nucleotide ribosomal RNA is filed under the name uncultured bacterium. RNAcentral describes it as "partial 16S ribosomal RNA". It matches the Rfam family "Bacterial small subunit ribosomal RNA", at positions 524 to 773 of the family's 1533-position model. The record is from RNAcentral.
UACGUAGGGGGCAAGCGUUGUCCGGAUUCACUGGGUGUAAAGGGCGCGCAGGCGGGCCUGCAAGUCAGGGGUGAAAUCCUACAGCUUAACUGUAGAACUGCCUUUGAGACUGCAGGUCUUGAGUACGGAAGAGAGAGACGGAAUUCCAGGUGUAGUGGUGAAAUACGUAGAUAUCUGGAAGAACACCAGUUGCGAAGGCGGUCUCUUGGUCCGAUACUGACGCUCAGGCGCGAAAGCGUGGGGAGCAAAC